AAGCGCUUGCAAUCAGACUUGCAUGCAGUUGAUCAUCCGAUGUUCUCACCGGUGCACUCAAUUGCAUUCAGGCCAGCAUCGGUUUUGGUGGUUGGAUAAAGACCUUGGGAAUGUGGCUCCUUUCGGGGAGUGUUAUAGCCUAAGGUGCAAUGCAGCCUACUGGGACCGAGGACCGCGCUUCGGCUCGGAUGUUGGCGUAAUGGUUGUCAGCGA
RNAcentral lists this ribosomal RNA (213 nucleotides) under Ramalinaceae sp. RNAcentral's name for it is "partial large subunit ribosomal RNA". The record is from RNAcentral. Lineage: Eukaryota; Fungi; Ascomycota; Lecanoromycetes; Lecanorales; Ramalinaceae.